RNAcentral lists this ribosomal RNA (253 nucleotides) under uncultured bacterium. RNAcentral's name for it is "partial 16S ribosomal RNA". It matches the Rfam family "Bacterial small subunit ribosomal RNA", at positions 524 to 776 of the family's 1533-position model. The record is from RNAcentral.
UACGUAGGGUGCAAGCAUUAAUCGGAUUUAUUGGGCGUAAAGGGCGCGUAGGCGGGGAUGUAAGUCAGAUGUGAAAUCCCGGGGCUCAACCCCGGAACAGCAUUUGAAACUACAUUUCUAGAGGGUAGGCGGAGAAAACGGAAUUCCACAAGUAGCGGUGAAAUGCGUAGAUAUGUGGAAGAACACCGGUGGCGAAGGCGGUUUUCUAGCUUAUACCUGACGCUAAUGCGCGAAAGCAAGGGGAGCAAACAGG